This 597-nucleotide ribosomal RNA is filed under the name uncultured bacterium. RNAcentral's name for it is "bacterial SSU rRNA". It matches the Rfam family "Bacterial small subunit ribosomal RNA", at positions 333 to 925 of the family's 1533-position model. The record is from RNAcentral.
UGAUUCCUACGGGAGGCAGCAGUGAGGAAUUUUGGACAAUGGGGGCAACCCUGAUCCAGCAAUGCCGCGUGAGUGAAGAAGGCCUUCGGGUUGUAAAGCUCUUUUGUCAGGGAAGAAACAGCAGCUCUAACACAGUCUGCGAAUGACGGUACCUGAAGAAUAAGCACCGGCUAACUACGUGCCAGCAGCCGCGGUAAUACGUAGGGUGCGAGCGUUAAUCGGAAUUACUGGGCGUAAAGCGUGCGCAGGCGGUUAUACAAGACAGGCGUGAAAUCCCCGGGCUUAACCUGGGAAUGGCGUCUGUGACUGUAUAGCUAGAGUGUGUCAGAGGGGGGUGGAAUUCCACGUGUAGCAGUGAAAUGCGUAGAUAUGUGGAGGAACACCAAUGGCGAAGGCAGCCCCCUGGGAUAACACUGACGCUCAUGCACGAAAGCGUGGGGAGCAAACAGGAUUAGAUACCCUGGUAGUCCACGCCCUAAACGAUGCUGACUAGUUGUUGGGAAUUUACAUUCUCAGUAACGUAGCUAACGCGUGAAGUCAGCCGCCUGGGGAGUACGGUCGCAAGAUUAAAACUCAAAGGAAUUGACGGAUCCCGCG